This 5796-nucleotide long non-coding RNA is filed under the name Podarcis lilfordi (Lilford's wall lizard). Lineage: Eukaryota; Metazoa; Chordata; Lepidosauria; Squamata; Lacertidae. The record is from RNAcentral.
UCACUGCACUCCAUGUUUAUUCCAUUUACAAUUGCCUGUUGGAUAUUAUUGGUUCCAGAUCUGUCGUGGGUUCAGAACCUGACUAUGCCACUCAUUGGUUUGAAACUGCUUUUGUCUUCUCUCGGAUAUAGGUUUAGAUGGGAUCUUGGAGGCCAACACAUCUUGAAGGCAAAGUACGAACAAUGUUCCCUCUCCAGCCUCCAACCUUCACCAGUGGGAAGCUCAAGGAGGUAAAAGAAAAGAAAAAGAUAUUAAGUAUUGAAAAGAAUAAGAUAUUCAGCUCUUCCACUGGUGAAUAUGGGUCGUACAGUUCAAGCACCGUUGAGGCUAUUCAGUCUGAAACUGGGGGAUAAUCCAAUUCUCUUGAUAGCCAGAGUGGCUGAAGCAUAAUGCCUAACAGUGAGAGGUGUCAGUGGCAAAGUCUAUGGUUCAGAUUAUUUCUGCAAAAAAUCAAUCGCAUCAGUUGUGUCAGUGGAUCUUGUGGAAGAUCUAAUGGACAAUUAAUUAGAUUAACUGGACUAAUUAAUUGGCACCUGCACAUCACAGGUGAGAUGGAGGUUGAUGCCUGAAGGUAUCACUCUAUAUAAAUGCAAAGUAUUUAUAUUGCAGUCCUGGCGCAGCAUUUCUCCUUCAGGGUCUGCAAGGAAACUCCGGUGAGGAGGCUGGAUGCCUGGCGCACCUCUGUAUGUGCGUGUAAAGGGAGGGGUUGUCCACCAUCUUCUCCUGCUAUGCAGGACUCCCUUCCUUUAGAAAUGCAGCUGGGACUACAUCUGACACUAGGCUGGCACCCAUCCUGCCUCUGUCACCCAAGAGACAUCAGUCCCCCAAAAGGAAGGUGCUAUGUGCAAGUCAGUGUCUGGCGCUGUUGCCCAAGGCAUGGAUAGGAUUGAGCCACAUGUUUUAAUUAAAGCCAGCGAAACCAAAGCGCUGAUACUUCCCUGUGAGCUUCCGUCAGGAGUCUGAAUGUCAAGCUGGGUUGACUCAUUAACUAAUUGCUUUCUUUGGUUUCUCACCCUGCUGUAGAUUCCCCUGGAGGUGAGAAAGCAAGCCUUCGUAGUGCCGGAGAAACCAAUAUUUCUGAAGAUGGUGCCACGAGGUGCUCCCCAAAAGGAGAAAGAGGGAACCCUGGUCGCAUCUCAGCCCCUCAGUGGGUGCAGAAGCCUCAGGUGUUGCUCAGGUGUUGUUCCCAGAAGAAAACUGGAGACACUUGCUAGUUGUGUACAGAGAGACAAGCUCAUGGCUGUAAAUUGCUUCUGGACCUCUUAAAUAGGCAUGGAGGAGAAAUCAGUUCAUGUUUUAAUCGGAACCUGCCAGAUUCACAUUUCUCAAACUAAUCUGCACCUGUCUUUCAAAAUUCUCAGUUACAGUGGUACCUCGGGUUACAUACGCUUCAGGUUACAUACGCUUCAGGCUACAGACUCCGCUAACCCAGAAAUAGUACCUCGAGUUAAGAACUUUGCUUCAGGAUGGGAACAGAACUCGUGCUCCGGCGGCGCGGCAGCAGCAGGAGGCCCCAUUAACUAAAGUGGUGCUAAACAUUGGGUGACCCUGUUCUACACAGUGGCCUGAUAAAAUGUCCAGGAACAUGUUCAGAGCAUGGCAUGUUCCUGGAAACUCUAAUGAAAGCACCCCCAGACCAAUCAAACUAGCCCAACUGGCAGAUGAAGAAGGCACCAGGGCAUCUUCCCAUCCGGCAAGUAGGGGGAUCAAGUAAGUUCGUGGCACACUUAUCAGUUCACCGGCCGGUCGCCCUUCUGCGUACACCGCAAAGCAAACAGUCAGGAUUCCCCCACCUGGAGCUGUCAGCAGAAAUGCCAAGAAGCAAACAAAACACCAUGCGAACUCCUGUCACCUCUGCAGGGACAUGAAUGGCAGCCACGGCUUCUGGGCUCUUUUAACUUAAAGGCACUAGAAAUUUCAGCCCUGCUGCAAAAACAAAAGCCUCCUUUGCUUCCGCCUUUCUUGUGUUUGGUGCAUUGGGAAGAUGGGGGUCUCAGUACAGUGGUACCUCGGGUUACAGACGUUUCAGGUUACAUACGCUUCAGGUUACAGAAUCCACUAACCCAGAAAUAUUACCUCGGGUUAAGAACUUUGCUUCAGGAUGAGAACAGAAAUCGUCCUCCGGCGGCAGCAGGAGGCCCCAUUAGCUAAAGUGGUGCUUCAGGUUAAGAACAGUUUCAGGUUAAGAAUGAACCUCCGGAACGAAUUAAGUACUUAACCCGAGGUACCACUGUAUAUGGAUUUGGCAAUGCAGUUCUCUAGCCGUAGAAUACACGUGGGAAGGAUCCCAGGACAGGGAGAAGGAGAGUCUGCUUUUAUGUUUUGAAACCCCCUUUUUAUUCUUCUGUUCUGAUUUUAUUCCUCAAACAUUUGUAUCGUCUGAGGUGCAAUAAAAAGGAAUGCAAUAAAUGAAAUAAUAUGAACAUGACUAACGGUCAUGACUACGUCUUUGCAGUCGUGAAGUCCAUAGACAAUUGGUUGUCAACCAGUGCACUGUGGCACCCUGAGCAACAUUCAGUGAAACCCCAGGGGGAAGCAGCAGAGCAAGCUGAUCGGGUGCCUGGGGUGACACGCGUGCCUUGCGCCCAGGGGCGGGGCCAGCCAGGGCAGGACACUCCGUGGGGCCUCCGAGGAGUCUGCCUGCCUCCUCCCACUCAGCCGCAUCCCAGGGGAGAUACGUGGCUCAGGCAAGCUGCAGGCCCCGUGGUGAGUGCUGCCCACUAUUUUGUCACCCCCUUAGUGGUGACACUCGGGGCCCCUCGCCCCCCACCCCUUUCCUCCGUCCCUGCCAGGGGGCCCUCCUUUCACUAACUUGAAGCCCUUAUUUCCUGCAUUAUCUAUAUUUCUCUAGAAGGAAGAUUCAGGAAGCCAGUGGCUUUGACCUGCACCCCCUUAUCUUCCAGUGUAAGUGGUUCCCACAAGAGAGAAGAAUUGUGCUUGGUUAAGGGAGCCGCAGACUCAAAAAGGGUGAAAACCACUGCCAUCGACAGUUCUCCCAGAUCCUCAUAAUUUGCUAUUGUGAUGCAAGCCCAUCCAAUAUCCACCUGCAUUUUACAUGCAAGGCAGCGAUGCUCAAAACAUGACGCAGGACACCGAAGGGGGAAGAGACACAGGAGGUGCCGUUCAACAGAGAACAUUCCCCCUCAGCUCACUUCUGCUCCAACUGCAAUAUAAACAGAUCAGACACAAUCUUAAUUAAAGACAGGCAUACACAUCCAGGAGAAAUCACUAGCAGGUUAAUUAAUGGCUUCAAAAGAGAAGAAAAGAUAUCAGCAAGCUCCCAAGCUCUCCAACGUUCAAGGUGUGCUCUUUUGCUUGGAACAAGCAAUUGUUACUCAAGCAACGAUAAUGCAUUGAAAAUUGUCCUUGCACAGCAAUCUGAACUGUCAGAAAGAAAGGCAUUAGCGCGAAUGAGACUCUGAUUCAUUCUAGCAAAGCUGGUGUGUGGGUCUGUGUCCUGCAGAGACAGGACCAAGCCACCAGUGCGAGCCCAAUUUAAAUAACUCAUAGGCGCUUUGGAGAAAAACAAGACCUUCCAUGGUUUAGUAUAUUAAACAACCCUUGUUAAAUGCAGGUUCCUGCUUCUACAUGCUGCAGUUUGUUGAGUUGUUAGAGUUGCCUAACAGUGUGCUGAACCGGACCUGGAAAUGACUCAGAAUUAGUUGCAGUGGGUGAUAGACCUGUGUAACAUCACCAUAGUAUUCAUUCCCAGGAAGGAUUCUUGAAGUUUUAUUUUCAGCAAUCUCCCCUUUACACAGUAGUAGUAGUGUAUCCCAAGCCGGAAUUAAGAUUGCCGGAAAAAAUAUCAACAACCUCAGAUAUGCAGAUGACACACCUUGAUGGCAGAAAGUGAGGAGGAAUGAAAGAACCUUUUAAUGAGGGUGAAAGAGGAGAGCGCAAAAUAUGGUCUGAAGUUCAAUAUAAAAAAAAACGAAGAUCAUGGCCAUUGGUCCCAUCACCUCCUGGCAGAUAGAAGGGGAAGAAAUGGAGGCAGUGAGAGAUUUUACUUUCUUGGGCUCCAUGAUCACUGCAGAUGGCGAGAGCAGCCACGAAAUUAAAAGAUGCCUGCUUCUUGGGAGAAAAGCAAUGACAAACCUAGACAGCAUCUUAAAAAGCAGAGACAUCAUCUUGCCGACAAAGGUCCGUAUAGUUAAAGCUAUGGUUUUCCCAGUAGUGAUGUAUGGAAGUGAGAGCUGGACCAUAAAGAAGGCUGAUCACCGAAGAAUUGAUGUUUUUGAAUUCUGGUGCUGGAGGAGACUCUUGAGAGUCCCAUGGACUGCAAGAAGAUCAAACCUCUCCAUUCUUAAGGAAAUCAGCCUUGAACGCUCACUGGAAGGACAGAUCCUGAAGCUGAGGCUCCAAUACUUUGGCCACCUCAUGAGAAGAGAAGACUCCCUAGAAAAGACCCUGAUGUUGGGAAAGAUGGAGGGCACAAGGAGAAGGGACGACAGAGGACGAGAUGGUGGGACAGUGUUCUCGAAGCUACCAACAUGAGUUUGACCAAACUGCGGGAGGCAGUGGAAGACAGGAGGGCCUGGCGUGCUCUGGUCCAGGGGGUCACAAAGAGUCGGACACAACUAAACAACAAAAUUUAGAGGAAAGGUGGGAUGGCUUAAUUAAAUAAAUGGGGAGCUUUGGAGCCUAUGUAUUGUAUUGCUUGUCCGUCAUCUCAAGUUCUCUGCAUCUACUUAGGCUCACCGAUGGAAGUCAGGGGCCAGUUUCCUUCUCACGGGAAAGCUGUGUUCUCAAUCCCUGUUUCUGUUUCCAUGAGUGAAAGGGUGUGAGAUUUUCUUGGGGUUUCUUAAAUGGCAGGUGAACCUUCAGGGUGGGGGACCUGGAAUUCCCUGGAAGAGCAAACCUUCUCCCCCUCUGCCGACCAUAGCUAUGGCCCUGCCUAGACUUUACACUGGGGGGUACAGUGUGUUGCAAGGUCUGUGUCUGAACCCCCCACCUUUGGGUCUCCUUAUACACACUGCCAAGAGAUUUAAGACCUUUUGCUAGAGUUAUAACAUGUGUUUGUUAUGAAGUGGUUUUCACCCUUAAUCUUACACCCACAAGAAGUUCUCACACUGGAGCAAUAAAGAAAGGUUGGUUUUAUGGCAUGAAAUGGAAGAGACGAAAUAUAUAAAUGCUGCUUCAGGCAGCAGAUCAUUCAUUGCAUACACACAUUGAUCCAAAGAGUAAAAGAAUCCCUAACUAUUCCCAAAAGCCUAAAGAAAGUGAGUCUGACAAUUUUGCCACAGAACCCGCAUGAAAAGCAAAGCGAGAAAGGGAGGAGGAAAGGUAUAUCCGUGUGUGUUGAUUCCUUGAGAGCGUUGAGUACAGUGAAAUUCCUUGGCGGAACUUGGAGAGAUAACCAGCCAUUGAAAAUCUAGGGUUUUUAUACUCAUUUUAGCCAAUGCAUCCAAGUGGAGAGGAGAGGUGGACUUUGGGACGAGCAAUUCUUAUAGUUCCAAUAUUUUUUCCUUCUGAUUGUUUCCUCUCUAUUAAAACCCUGGCUGUUUGCUUAAUUAGUAGUUGAAAGCAUAUAGUCCUGGUGAGCAAUGACUCAACAGGUUAUCUUUGCUUCAUGCCUUAAUGUUAUCUCACUGCAGUCUAACUCUAAUCCAAUCUUCUACAGGAGCAUUGAUUAAUUUUUGCUAAUUUCCAGAUUACUUGUGCUGACCUCUGCACAAACUAUUAGUUGUUCAGGAUGUCUCCUUGAUGCUUGACAAGAUACAUUUGUGAUAAGAACUAGGACCAGGUUCAGGAAAGUUCAUUCAGCUAUACAUUCCAUAUUGAACGAUGCCAGCUGCA